RNAcentral lists this ribosomal RNA (253 nucleotides) under uncultured bacterium. RNAcentral's name for it is "partial 16S ribosomal RNA". It matches the Rfam family "Bacterial small subunit ribosomal RNA", at positions 524 to 776 of the family's 1533-position model. The record is from RNAcentral.
UACAGAGGUCUCAAGCGUUGUUCGGAUUCAUUGGGCGUAAAGGGUGCGUAGGUGGCGCCGUAAGUCAGGUGUGAAAUUUCGGAGCUUAACUCCGAAACUGCAUUUGAUACUGCGGUGCUUGGGGACUGGAGAGGAGACUGGAAUUCACGGUGUAGCAGUGAAAUGCGUAGAUAUCGUGAGGAAGACCAGUGGCGAAGGCGGGUCUCUGGACAGUUCCUGACACUGAGGCACGAAGGCCAGGGGAGCAAACGGG